RNAcentral lists this ribosomal RNA (616 nucleotides) under uncultured bacterium. Its description in RNAcentral is "bacterial SSU rRNA". It matches the Rfam family "Bacterial small subunit ribosomal RNA", at positions 8 to 599 of the family's 1533-position model. The record is from RNAcentral.
AGAGUUUGAUGAUGGCUCAGAACGAACGCUGGCGGCGUGCCUAACACAUGCAAGUCGAACGAGAAAACGGACUUCGGUCUGUUAGUACAGUGGCAGACGGGUGAGUAACACGUGGGCAACCUACCCGGAGGUGGGGGAUAACCCUUCGAAAGGAGGGCUAAUACCGCAUUGUAUCUCGGGGCUUCGGCCUUCGAGAUUAAAGCUAGCCUCUACAUGUAAGCUAGCGCCACCGGAGGGGCCCGCGGCCCAUUAGUUUGUUGGUGAGGUAACGGCUCACCAAGGCGACGAUGGGUAGCCGGCCUGAGAGGGCGAUCGGCCACACUGGAACUGAGACACGGUCCAGACUCCUACGGGAGGCAGCAGUGAGGAAUUUUGCGCAAUGGGGGAAACCCUGACGCAGUGACGCCGCGUGGAGGACGAAGGCCUUCGGGUCGUAAACUCCUGUCAAGUGGGACGAAAGCCGUGGGGAUGAAUAAGCCUUACGGUUGACGGUACCACUGAAGGAAGCCCCGGCUAACUCCGUGCCAGCAGCCGCGGUAAUACGGAGGGGGCUAGCGUUGUUCGGAAUUAUUGGGCGUAAAGGGCGCGUAGGCGGCCUGGCAAGUCAGACGUGAAA